GGGAUGAAUUUGGUUCCUUCACGCAAUAGAUUGAUCGGAGCUGGCGGGGUGGGGCGCUGUUAUCUCUUCGCGCAACUCAUUUAGGAUGGUCCACAUCUUGACUGCAUCUGGUUUGCAUCUAAUCCAGGCUUGGACAAGUUAUUUUCACAGCCGAAAACGAUGAGGAUUUACAGAAGUUCCAUUUUCCGGAAUCAGGAAGGAUUGAGAUGAUUCAUGACACCUGCAGGUGCCAUUCUCAAUAUAUCCCAAUGUCAACAACGACAAUGAUUAAAGGUUCUCAUUACGGCACUGGCGAUCCUGAAUCCUCAAAAGUGGGAAACAACUCGCGAAGCUCUGGAACACUCCUGAUUUGCUGGCUAUGAGGUGGCUGUACCAUGAUAUCUCUUGAAAUUUCCGCGCUGCUUCAGGAUUUCUGAUGCCAUGCCAAAUGAAUGGGAGGCGUUGCUGGGGAUUGGGACGUCUGUAAGACAGUACAGGUAGGUUUGCCGUCCUCCAGCAAGUUUGGGCGAAACGCAGGUCUCAGUCGAAUAUGAAGAGUGUUUUGUGUUUAUUCCACAUCAAGUAAUUACAUUAGGUAGUGGGAGUUAUAGUAGCUAGUUUUGAAAGGCCAAUGAGCCUGACAUUUGUGUCAGAAUGAUAAACAGGACCCUGGUAGAAUCAGCUGGUAGAUGGACGAAAACAGUGAGGCAGGAAUUGUACGGGAAUUUGGCCAGGCCCACUCUCUCUUUGCGAAACUUUCGACAAUAGGCUUACCAAAGAUACAUGGCGCAAAUGGGAUGUUGAUAUGGAAGUGUAAAUGGAAGUCAAAGCGGCGCGGGAUAAUUGUUCUACAUCAGCGGUGAUAGGAUUAUCUUAUCAUGAAUAAAGCAUUAACUAAGGGACAUAGGCUUGCAGGUGAUUUCGUCUGCAGGACCAUGCAAUGCACAUGUACACAUCAUGCCUCUUUAAUCCUUUAGCGGUGUUGUAAUUUAUAAUUAUCAAAACCAAUCGGUAUACC
RNAcentral lists this small RNA (997 nucleotides) under Histoplasma capsulatum var. duboisii H88. Its description in RNAcentral is "Histoplasma capsulatum H88 hypothetical RNA". Lineage: Eukaryota; Fungi; Ascomycota; Eurotiomycetes; Onygenales; Ajellomycetaceae. The record is from RNAcentral.